AGAGUUUGAUCCUGGCUCAGAAUCAACGCUGGCGGCGUGCCUAACACAUGCAAGUCGAACGCGAAAGCCCCGCAAGGGGUAAGUAGAGUGGCAAACGGGUGAGUAACACGUGGGUGACCUGCCUUCGAGUGGGGGAUAACGUCCCGAAAGGGACGCUAAUACCGCAUAACAUCCUGCUCUUGGACGAGUGGAGAUCAAAGCCGGGGAUCGCAAGACCUGGCACUUGAAGAGGGGCCCGCGCCUGAUUAGCUAGUUGGUGGGGUAAUGGCCUACCAAGGCUACGAUCAGUAUCCGGCCUGAGAGGGCGGACGGACACACUGGGACUGAGACACGGCCCAGACUCCUACGGGAGGCAGCAGUGGGGAAUUGUUCGCAAUGGGCGCAAGCCUGACGACGCAACGCCGCGUGGAGGAUGAAGAUCUUCGGGUCGUAAACUCCUGUCGAGCGGGAAGAAACUCACGAGGGUGAAUAAUCCUCGUGGCUGACGGUACCGCUAAAGGAAGCCCCGGCUAACUCCGUGCCAGCAGCCGCGGUAAUACGGGGGGGGCAAGCGUUGUUCGGAAUUACUGGGCGUAAAGGGCUCGUAGGCGGCCAACUAAGUCGGACGUGAAAUCCCCAGGCUCAACCUGGGAACUGCGUCCGAUACUGGAUGGCUUGAAUUCGGGAGAGGGAUGCAGAAUUCCAGGUGUAGCGGUGAAAUGCGUAGAUAUCUGGAGGAAUACCGGUGGCGAAGGCGGCAUCCUGGACCGACAUUGACGCUGAUGAGCGAAAGCCAGGGGAGCAAACGGGAUUAGAUACCCCGGUAGUCCUGGCCCUAAACGAUGAAUGCUUGGUGUGACGGGUAUCGAUCCCUGUCGUGCCGAAGCUAACGCAUUAAGCAUUCCGCCUGGGGAGUACGGUCGCAAGGCUGAAACUUAAAGGAAUUGACGG
RNAcentral lists this ribosomal RNA (930 nucleotides) under uncultured soil bacterium. RNAcentral describes it as "bacterial SSU rRNA". It matches the Rfam family "Bacterial small subunit ribosomal RNA", at positions 8 to 916 of the family's 1533-position model. The record is from RNAcentral.